GUAGGGUGCAAGCGUUAAUCGGAAUUACUGGGCGUAAAGCGUGCGCAGGCGGUUUUGUAAGACAGGCGUGAAAUCCCCGGGCUCAACCUGGGAAUUGCGCUUGUGACUGCAAGGCUGGAGUGCGGCAGAGGGGGAUGGAAUUCCGCGUGUAGCAGUGAAAUGCGUAGAUAUGCGGAGGAACACCGAUGGCGAAGGCAAUCCCCUGGGCCUGCACUGACGCUCAUGCACGAAAGCGUGGGGAGCAAAC
This 247-nucleotide ribosomal RNA is filed under the name uncultured Hydrogenophaga sp. RNAcentral's name for it is "partial 16S ribosomal RNA". It matches the Rfam family "Bacterial small subunit ribosomal RNA", at positions 527 to 773 of the family's 1533-position model. Lineage: Bacteria; Pseudomonadati; Pseudomonadota; Betaproteobacteria; Burkholderiales; Comamonadaceae. The record is from RNAcentral.